RNAcentral lists this ribosomal RNA (262 nucleotides) under uncultured bacterium. RNAcentral describes it as "partial 16S ribosomal RNA". It matches the Rfam family "Bacterial small subunit ribosomal RNA", at positions 524 to 778 of the family's 1533-position model. The record is from RNAcentral.
UACAGAGGGUGCAAGCGUUGUUCGGAAUUAUUGGGCGUAAAGGGCGCGUAGGCGGUUCGGCAAGUCUCUAGUGAAAUCUAUGGGCUCAACUCAUAGUCUGCAUCGGAAACUGCCGGGCUUGAGUAUGGGGAGAGGUGAGUGGAAUUCCUGGUGUAGCGGUGAAAUGCGUAGAUAUCAGGAGGAACACCUGUGGCGAAAAGCGGCUACCCUGGACCAGCACUGACACUGAGGCACGAAAAGCGUGGGGGGAGCAAAACAGGAU